RNAcentral lists this unclassified non-coding RNA (378 nucleotides) under uncultured Chlamydiales bacterium. RNAcentral describes it as "contains 16S-23S intergenic spacer region". Lineage: Bacteria; Pseudomonadati; Chlamydiota; Chlamydiia; Chlamydiales. The record is from RNAcentral.
UCCCAGUUAACCUGGGCAGUCUUGCCAGAGUUCCCGCCAUUACGCGUUGGCAACUGACAAUAAGGGUUGCGCUCGUUGCGGGACUUAACCCAACACCUCACGGCACGAGCUGACGAUAGCCAUGCAGCACCUAUAUAGAGCCCCUUUCGGGAAACGCCGUUUCUGACGCUGUGCUCUACACUUCGAGCCUGGGUAAGGUUCUUCGCGUCGCAUCGAAUUAAACCACAUGCUCCACUGCUUGUGCGGGCCCCCGUCAAUUCUUUUAAGUUUCACCCUUGCGAGCGUACUCCCCAGGCGGCAUACUUAAUGCGUUAGCUUCGAUACAGACGGGGUUGAGCCCACCUACACCUAGUAUGCAUCGUUUAAGGCUAGGACUAC